GAUGAACGCUGGCGGCGUGCCUAAUACAUGCAAGUCGAGCGAACGGACGAGAAGCUUGCUUCUCUGAUGUUAGCGGCGGACGGGUGAGUAACACGUGGAUAACCUACCUAUAAGACUGGGAUAGCUUCGGGAAACCGGAGCUAAUACCGGAUGAUAUUUUGAACCGCAUGGUUCAAAAGUGAAAGACGGUCUUGCUGUCACUUAUAGAUGGGUCCGCGCUGCAUUAGCUAGUUGGUAAGGUAACGGCUUACCAAGGCAACGAUGCAUAGCCGACCUGAGAGGGUGAUCGGCCACACUGGAACUGAGACACGGUCCAGACUCCUACGGGAGGCAGCAGUAGGGAAUCUUCCGCAAUGGGCGAAAGCCUGACGGAGCAACGCCGCGUGAGUGAUGAAGGUCUUCGGAUCGUAAAACUCUGUUAUUAGGGAAGAACAUAUGUGUAAGUAACUGUGCACAUCUUGACGGUACCUAAUCAGAAAGCCACGGCUAACUACGUG
Molecule: ribosomal RNA, 497 nt
Filed under: uncultured bacterium
Lineage: Bacteria
Description: partial 16S ribosomal RNA
Rfam family: Bacterial small subunit ribosomal RNA
Source: RNAcentral